This 252-nucleotide unclassified non-coding RNA is filed under the name uncultured fungus. RNAcentral describes it as "partial contains small subunit ribosomal RNA, internal transcribed spacer 1, and 5.8S ribosomal RNA". The stretch from base 1 to 73 matches the Rfam family "Eukaryotic small subunit ribosomal RNA", at positions 1759 to 1831 of the family's 1831-position model. Lineage: Eukaryota; Fungi. The record is from RNAcentral.
GCAAACUUGGUCAUUUAGAGGAAGUAAAAGUCGUAACAAGGUUUCCGUAGGUGAACCUGCGGAAGGAUCAUUACCGAGGAAGGGUCUCAACGGCCCGAACUCCCAUCCCUUGUGGAUCAACCACCGUUGCUUCGGCGGCUGCCCGCCGAACGCCUCAACUUCUGAUCAUCAUGUUGUCUGAGUCUGAUAUCAAAUCAACGCAAAACUUUCAACAACGGAUCUCUUGGUUCUGGCAUCGAUGAAGAACGCAGC